Molecule: ribosomal RNA, 482 nt
Filed under: uncultured bacterium
Lineage: Bacteria
Description: bacterial SSU rRNA
Rfam family: Bacterial small subunit ribosomal RNA
Source: RNAcentral
GAUCAUGGCUCAGGAUUAACGCUGGCGGCGUGCCUAAUACAUGCAAGUCGGAUGGUUAGCUUGCUAACCAUGGCGAACGGGUGAGUAACACGUAGGCAACCUGUCUAAAAGACGAGGAUAACCAUUGGAAACGAUGGAUAAUACUGGAUAGGAUUAUUUAGGGCAUCCUAGAUAAUUUAAAGAUUUAUCACUUUUAGAGGGGCCUGCGGCGCAUUAGCUAGUUGGUAGAGGUAAAGGCCUACCAAGGCGAUGAUGCGUAGCCGGACUGAGAGGUUGAACGGCCACAAUGGGACUGAGAACGGCCCAUACUCCUACGGGAGGCAGCAGUAGGGAAUUUUCGGCAAUGGGCGGAAGCCUGAACCCGAGCAACGCCGCGUGAACGAAGAAGUAUUUCGGUAUGUAAAGUUCUUUUAUUUGGGAAGAAAAGACAGAUUGACUGUACCAAAUGAAUAAGCUCCGGCUAACUACGUGCCAGCAGCCGC